UGGCACGCCUGAGGUCACGGUGGCUAGCAUCGAGGAGCCUUUGGUCACCAGUGUAGGAGUGGGUGGUUGUCAUGGUACCCUUGAUAAUACCUAUCAUGUAAAAUGAGUUUUCAUUGGCAUAGUGAAAAGAAGAUUACUUUUGAACCUUGAUCAUGUAUAAACUUAGUCAUAGAAAAUGUGAAUUUCAUUUCCAAGUUGGGAGAUUUUGACAGAACAGGACAACAAUAUAGUAUCAUUUAUCUAAUUAUUGUGCUAUUCAGCUUAUAAUUAUACAAGAAUUAAGAACAUCAUUGAGUGAUAUAGGUUAGAAGCAUACAAACAAAGCAAGAUUUACAACACUCUUUGACACUAUUAUUAUUUGAUUGAGUUAAUGUGGGUUCCAAUGAAUAGACACAUGAAAUUCAACUACUAUCAAAGAAACUGUUGAAAAGGGUGUUAAAAAAUGAUUUCUGGCAUCUUUCAUCCAAAAUAUCCAAGGAAUAUAUCAUGAUACAUAUUUGAUACUCAUUUGGCAACUAUUUCGAAGUAUUAGUGAUUCUUAGUAUUUGAACUUUGUUAAUAAGGUUUUAAGACACAUUAUUCAAUAAUUUCAUAAUAAGUUGAUAAAGAAUGUGGAGACAAGGUAAAUUACCAAAUUUUUCAUCAAGGACUUUGACAAAGGGGGCAAGGCAGUUAGUGGUGCAAGAAGCAUUGCUGAUGAUGGUUUCAUCUGGGUUGUAAGCAUCAGCAUUGACACCAACCACAUAGGUUGGGAUGUCUCCUUUGCCAGGUGCUGUGAUUAGUACCUUCUUAGCACCUGCUUGAAUGUGUUUCCCUGCACCUUCUCUGUCCACAAACACCCCAGUUCCUUCGAUCACCAAGUCGAUCCCUAAGUCCCUGCAACACCCGAACACACAUUAGUGCAUAUUAUUUCUCUUCUCUGUAUUCCAUAUUCUUCAAAGUUGAGAAAAUUGGUUGCAAUGCUGCAAAGAACUUUCAGGUCCGUUUGCGAGCGAGUUGAGUUUUAAAGGGGAAGGAAUGGAAAAUGAAGGUUUUAGAGUCAUGAAAUACACUUAUAAGAUGAUUCUAAAGCCUUCAAUUUCCCUUCAUUUCCCUACAAAAUUCAACUCGCAAACGGAUUCUUAAGUACCAUUUGGUGCAUAGACAAAAAACAGGACUGAACAAGAAUAACUUAAGGUACCAUUUGGUGCAUAUACAAAAUAGGACUGAACAAGAUGUUUUGUUCUAUUCUCUUUGGUUCCACCUCUUUCCGUGGAAUUAAAAUGUACUGUUUUUUAACUUCAUGUUAUGUUCUGUUCUAAUUACAAAACACAACAAACAUAGGGUACAACAAAUGUUCUGUUGCAUCCUAUUAUGACAUGAUUAUGAAGCUUACUUCCAGGGGAGGUUUGCAGGGUUACGAUCAGAAACAACUUUGAUGACCUUUCCAUCAACAGAAAUACCAUUAUCACCAACAGGCUUGACAUCGGCGUCGAAAAUUCCAAGAGUGGAGUCAUACUUGAGAAGGUGAGAGGCCUGUUUGACACCUCCAGUGUCAUUGAUGGCAAUGAUAUCCAACGGAGAGUCCUUACGACCGUGCCAGCACCUCAAGAAAUUCCUUCCAAUCCUACCAAAUCCGUUUAUGGCCACCUUCAGUUUUGCUUCUACUACACCUUUCUUGUACCCUCCGGUGCUUCCAACCUUCAAAAUUUAAACAAAUGUAAUGUUGUUAAACAGAUCAUUAAAUAUUUAAAGUCAUGAGUUCAAAUCGUGGAAACAGUCUAUCUGCUUGUCGAGGUAAGGCUGCAUAUAUCUACCAUCCCAGACCACACUAAGUGGGAGCCUCGUGCACUGGUCCACCUACUUUUAGGCAUUGUGAAAGGCCUAGUUCAAACACUAAUAUAACUAGUUCACCAUGGAUGGAAGAAACGCAGCAUGCAGUCAUGCACCAAGUGAUGAUAAUGUACUCAUGGGUCAAGGACCAAGUCUAUCAAAACCUUAAGCUAAUGUAAGGUGAAGGCUCAUGAUUACUUUUAUAUUAGCCAUGCUGCAAUAUGCAUAAGAGUCAUUUAUAGUUUAUACCUGAAUAUUGGAUAUGUACAUAUCAUCUUUACCAUUUUCUGAAAUUCAACUUGUAUUUAGAAGAAUAAUGGUAGCAAGGAUUGAACUCAAACAUUACAUUCUAGAGGCUCUAUACUAUCAUAUUAUGAACCAAUUCUCUCCAAAAUGUUUAUUUAAAUGUUUUUUAAUUACAAAAUAAUUUAUACUGCAAUGGCACUGCAACUGUGACCGCAAUCAAAACCAUACCCCCAAUUUAAAAAUUGAAUGUGAUAUAAGAUAUUAAUAACCACUUGAUAUGUCAAAUAUUGAAUCUAAAGGACUUCGUCUAAUUGUCUUUACAUAACUUCGGGUGCAUACAUUAUUGUUCAACAUAAGAUCAUUCAUAAAAGUCAAUAACUGAACCAUUUUAAAAUGUUAGCCCUUGUAUUUAGCGAUUAUUUAUGAUCAUUUUUUUAGUAUCUACACAUUCUACUUACUGCAUAGGUCUGGAAGGAAACAACAGAAUGCAAAUCCUCUGAAGUUUUUCUAGUAAAGGUGACAUAGCUUGAAGAGUUACGUAGACCAGAGAACUCAGAAAUACCUUUCCCAUUUACCUGAAAAAAUGUAACAUGUUAUGUAAAUCAAUUAUAGACAACUACAACUAGCUUAAGCACUAUAGGGCAAUGCAAAUAUCAGUUUCUAACGUAUCAUGUUUGUUAAUGAAAGUUGGAAUAAGAAAAUGUACAAUAUAUGGAACCUUAAGAGAUGGUUUGGCUACAGAAAUAGUAGCCGAAGCCAUGAUUCAGUUAGAGCAGUAGUGUAAAAAGCUUUGAGGAUUUUCAUGUUGCAUUACAAGUUUAAUAGGGAACCAAGACGAGGUAACGUGGAUGUGUGGCUGUGACUCAUGAGACAAAGUGAGGAUGAGAUUUUGGAUAGCCUACUCAUUCAAUGAAUGGUUGUCAUUGGUGCUUUCUUCAUGCCCUUAUGACUUAAAGAGUCCAAUCAUCUAUCUAAAUUCUAUGUAAAGUGCUUUAGAAAAUUAUGCACAAUAUAUUCAAAUUCAAGAGAGUUAAACAUAUUUAUUAGUAAAUGAAUUUAAAUGAAUACAAUUUAAAAGAUAAUAUUGAUUAUAUUCAAUUGAUAUCAAUAGAUAUAUCUAUUUGGAUGAAUAUUCAAUCCAUCAAAAAAUAAAUAUUUACAAAUGAUGUUUUUUCUUUUCAAUUUCAUUCAUUAUCUCGCCUCUAAAUUUUUUGUAGUGUUAUUAAAUUGAGAAUAAUUAUAGGAUAUGUGGAUGUGAUUAAUAUUAAAAAUUUGUCCUUAAAUGAAUAAUAUAAGUAAAUAUACGUUACAAAUUUAUAAGUAGAACCUUAAAGGUGAGAAAAAUAUCGCAAAAAAUAAUUCUUUGAAAAGUUAAAAAAAAUCACUUUUUAAAAAAAAAAAGUGUUUUUUGAAAAAAAAAAACUAUAGCACACUUUUUCAAAGGUGGCAUUUGUUACUACCUAAUUUGCUUUGACAUUAAAAAAAACUAUCUAUGUAACUAUUAUUCAUAAUAGUAAUAUAGGUAGAACAAAAUUUUGACUUUGUGUCGGUUAAAAGAAAUUAUUAAUGUAUUACUAAAAUUAGAAUGGAAAUCAUUAAAAAUCAUAUGAAAGGUACAUAGUACCGUAUAAUUGAAAGAAUGAACGUUUCAAAAAAAUGAUUUUAAAAGUUGUUUAAAAAAUGUUUGAUUGAAAUAAAUGUUUUUAAAUAAUUGUUUUUUCAAAUGUGUUUUUAGUUUACAAUUAAAAAAAUCAAAUAGAUCGAAUAUUCAUUCAUCCAAUUGAUUAAAAUUAUUGGAUAUUUAUCUAUCCAAUCCAUUAAAAUGAUUCAUUGAUAUAAUGAAAUGCAUCCUUUAAAUUUAGAUAUGAAUCAAAAUACAAUUUAAAAAUAUUUAUAUAGAGAAAUUGAUGACUUUUUGUUCAUUGGGAUCAAAAUCCGUAUUUAUCCAAAUCUAUUGAUUUUUCAAUUGCUAUUCAUAUUCAUGUCCGGAUGACUUAAGAGUCUAGUCAUCUAAAGUCUCCCAUUUUUCCAUUGGAUUUUUUUUAUUAUAUUCACCUUCUAUGUGAUGGUCUGAAUAUUAAACUUAAAAUGUUCUUUAAUCUUAUAUUUUAUAGUUAAAUUUUAAUUUGGUCAUUGAGUAUAAAGAAUGUACUGUAAUCCUUUGUUUUUAAAAAUAAUAAUUCAAUUUUAUCCAUAUUUAAUUUUUAUGAAUAUAUAUAUAUAUAUAUAUAUAUAUAUAUAAAUUUUCUAUGUAGAUCCCUAUCUCCUCAUUGGAAAGUGAAUAUUUUUAACAAAACUCUUCUAUUUUCUUUUAUUUACUUUAUUAUUUUCAUCCUCUUCGUUUUCAUCAUUUAUCUUUUUUAUCAUUUUGUCGUUAUAAUGUUUUGAAUUUCAAUGAUAAAAACAAGAUUUUUGUAAUUAGAAAGGGAUUUGAAACAAUAAUUUGAUAUAUUUAUGUAAUAAUCUAACACUUAUAUGAAAAAUAAUUGACAAACAUUAAAAUAAUAGCGGAUUAAGUGAAUAUUUUUGAUUGAAUGACCAAUUUAAACUUAAAAAACAUAAAAGAUCAAAAUAGUACUUUAACCAUUAACAAUAUGACAUAGAGCACUAAAUUCAUAUAAAAAUGAAUUUUAAGGUUAAAUUGUGAAGAAAUUCUUGUUCUUGAUUUUCGUUUGGUUUUCAUGAAGACACUAAGGUAAAAUGAUUAAAGACUUAGAAGCAUAUUGAACAAAUGAUCAAAACUUUUGGCUUUGUAAGAUGUGUACUUUAUGCUAAAGUAUUAUCACUUUUAAGUAUUGGCAAAUGCUCAUAGGAAUUUUUUUGUUUUGAAAAUAUCAAACUUGGAUUGAAAAGAUAAACUUAAAUUUUCAAAAAAUAAUGAGUUACAGAGUAAUCAGUUAUCCAAAUAGAGUAUCAACUUACCAAGAAAAAAUAACUAAGAGUAAUUUAUUACUCAAGGAGACAAAAGCUUUUGGUAACCGAUUAUACCAUUCUAAUAAUCAAUUACUCAUAAUUGUUACAAUAAUUUUCAUAUUCAAACUGAAACAAAUUCUACCAAAACAAUUGGAUGACAUUCUAAUCAAUUUUCAUCUUCUUGUAUGAGUAUAUUGGAUGAUUGAAAGCCUAUUUAAAGGUACUAGACAUUCAAUUUCAAGAGACAUCAAUCAUACUACAUUUUCUACAAUAUUCUAUACACUUUUACAAACAACUUGAUCAAACUUUUCGAUUUUCUAAACAGUUGUUUAAGUAUUUUUCUUCCAAGUUUUCUGAAUUUAAAAACACUUAAACAUUUGUGUAUUCCUUCUAGUGAUUGACAUACAAUGAUUUUGAGUGUUAAAUUGUUAUACAAUCUUAACAAUCUUAGACCUAUAUACAAAGUUCUUCAUCUACCAUUUUCUGUAUAUUUCACCAUAGGGUGUGGUGAGAGUUAAAGAGUGAAAUUUAGAAGUGGUGUACUUCUAUGUAGUGAGUUUUGGUGAGUGUAAUCAGAACAAAGUCUCAGGAUGAAUUUUGUAACAAUUGACAUUCAUCAUAGUAAAAUCUCUUAUGGUUCAUAAGAGGAUUGAGCUAGCCUUUGGUGGACUAGAAGGUGAAUCAUGAUAAAUAUAUCUCUCUCAUUUCUACAACACAUUUACUCUUAAACUUUUCGUAAGUUUAAAAAAUGUACAUUAUGUGCAGAAAAAACUAGAAAAUUAAUUCACCUCACCCCUCUUAGUUUGUCGUCUUAACUUACAUAAAUAUGUUUUCAAUAGACAAUGAAGUUUGGUCAAUAUGGUAAAUAAUUGGCUAAUAGCUAGCGCUUAAGGACUUUGUUGGUAGGUUAUUUGUAAGAAUUCAUAGAGUCGCAAAGCCUACCCUUUCCGUGGAGAACCCUCACGAUCAAUUAACCUAAACUUUUUAUUCAUGUAUAUGAAGUUGGCACAUUCAAGCACAAAAAGGAAGUUGAAUUAUGUUAAUUUUUAAAAUUAUUCUUUAAUACAAACACUUUCCAAAAGCAAUUAUAUAAUGGCAGAUAUAAUUUUUUUUGAAAAUAUUGUCACAACAAGUUCAAUUUACCACAGUUACAAAUAAUUGAAAGCACUAAAAAGUUUAGUGGCAAAGAAAAUAACACAAGUAUUUGUAUACUAUUUUACUAUCAAUAGUCUAAGGUUGAAGAGUCUACACCCAAAGCACUUGUCGCUUCACCCCAAAACCGAAGAGAGCAAGGAAGCUAGUCUUGGCAAUCGAGGAGGAGACUAAUGAUGAUAUUCUCCCCAUUUCUUUAAAGAUCCAAAAAUUGUAUCUAGCAUUGUUGCUUCAACGGUAACCAAUAAGAAGAGGUCUCAAAAAGCUAAGUCUCUAUUGUAUUUAGAGGUAACUCCCUACAGUAACGUUCCUAUUGAUUUAUUGUGGAAACUCUAGUAGAUAGCUUAGAUCAUUCUUCGAAAUAAAAAAUCACCAAUCCUGCAAGGCCUACCCUAUCCUUGGAGAACCCUCACGACCAAUUAAUCUAAAUGUUUUAUUCAUGUAUAUUAAGAUGGCACAUUCAAAUACAAGAAGGGAGUUGAAUUAUGUUUGUUAAGUUUUUGAAAAUAUAUAAUGGCAGAUAUAAAAAUUAUUUUGAAAAUAUUACCACAAUUAUAAAUGGCAGAAUGGAUCGCCCCUAACCAUUUUGUCUGUGUCCCCAAAUGCCCGCAAAAUAUUAUCGAGGUGCGGGCAUGUCCAAAUUGUUUUAAUAGACAAAAUGACAUGCCAUACUCAUUUUAAAAUUGGAUAACAGGCAUGUGGGCAACUCGUGGACAUUGAUGAUAAUAUCAAAAUAAAAAAUAAUAUAAAAAAUAAAAACAAAUUAAAUAAAGUAGUUGAAGAGAAGAUAAUUUUUUUUUUAAAAAACAUUGGUAUUUUAUAUGAGGUUGACCAAAUUAUAUUACAUCACAAUUGUUUGAGACAUUAAAUCACAUUACAUCAUAAUAUAUUUGAUAUUUUCUUGUUUUUUCCUUAUAUUAUGUUAAUAGGUUGCGUGUCCGUAUUGUCCAACAGAAAUGUCUUCAGGCUUGGCGGGCAAAUUGGUCGGGAAAGUGGGCAAAUGGGUCGAGCAAAACAUGCAAAUACACAAAAUUUGUAUGCUCUGCCUGCAAAAAAUUGCGGGCUAUACGGAUUGAUCCACAUAUAUUACACAUUUAGCCAACAAUAACCACAACAACUUCAAUUCAUAGUGGUUACAAAUAAUUGAAACCAAUAAAGAUUUUAGUGGUAGAGAAAAUAACGCAAGUAUUUGUAUAAAGUUUUACUCUCAAUAGUCUAAGGUUGUAGAGUCUACACCCGAAACAAUUGUUGCUUCACCCUAAUACCGAAGAAAGCAAGGAAUCUAAUCUUGACAAUGGAGGAAGAGAAUGAUGAUGAUAAUCUCCUCAUUUCUUUCUAGAUCCAAAAACUUGUAUCUAGUAUUGUUGCUUCAACAAUAACAAAAAAGAAGAGGUCUCACGAGGCCAAGUCUCCAUUGCCUUUAGAGUUCCCCACACUAACGUUCUAUCGAUUUAGUUGUGGAAACUCUAGAAGACAGCCUAGAUCAUUCUUCGAAUACUCUAUCAUAACCUACGCAACAAUAACAAAUUUCUCAAGGCCUACCCUAUCCUUGGAGAAUCCUCAUAGCCAAUUAAACUAAACGUUUUCUUAUGUAUAUUAAGUUGGCACAUUCAAACACAAGAAGGGAGAGGAAUUAUGUUUGUUAAGUUUUUGAAAUUAUUCUUGAAUAAAAACUUUUUCCAAAAGCAAUUAUAUAAUGACAAAUAUAAAAAUUAUUUUGAAAAUAUUACCACAAUUAUAAUGGCAGAACGGGUCGCCCUAACCAUUUUGUAUGUGUCCCCAAAUGCCCGCAAAAAAUUAUCGAGGUGCGGGCAUGUCCAAAUUGUUUUAAUGGACAAAAUGGUAUGCCCUCCUAAUUUAAAAUUGGAUAAUAGGCAUGCGAGCAACUCGUGGACAUUGAUGAUAAUAUCAAAAUAAAAAAUAAAAACAAAUUAAAUAAAGUAGUUGAAGAGAACAUAAUUUUUUUAAAAACAUUGGUAUUUUAUAUAAGGUUGAUCAAAUCAUAUUACAUCAUAAUUUUUUGAGAUAUUAAAUCACAUUACAUCAUAAUACAUUUGAUAUUUUCUUGUUUUUUCCUUAGAUUAUGCUCAUAGGCUGCAUACUCGCAUUGUCCAAUAGAAAUGUCUUCGGGCUUGGCGGGCAAAUGGGUCGGGAAAGUGGGCAAAUGGGUCGAGCAAAAUAUGCAAAUGGACUAAAUUUGUACGCUCUUCCUGCAAAAAAUUGCGGGCUAUACAGAUGGGCCCACAGAUAUUACCCAUUUUGCUAACUAUAACCACAACAACUUCAAUUCACAAUGGUUACAAAUAAUUGAAACCAAUAAAGAGUUUAGUGGUAGAGAAAAUAACACAAGUAUUUGUAUAAUGUUUUACUCUCAAUAGUUUAAGGUUAUAGAGUUUACACCCCGAAGCAAUUGCUGCUUCACCCCAUUACCAAAGAGAGCAAGGAAGCUAGUGUUGACAAUGGAGGAAGAGACUGAUUACGAUAAUCUCCUCAUUUCUUUCAAGAUCCAAAAACUUGUAUCUAGUAUUGUUGCUUCAAUAGUAACCAAUAAGAAGAGGUCUUACAAGGCUAAGUCUCUAUUGCCUUUAGAGGUAACUCCCUACACUAACGUUCCUAUUGAUUUAGUUGUCGAAACUCUACUAGAUAGCUUAGAUCAUUCUUCAAAUACUCCAUCAUAACCUGCACAUCAAUCACCAAUCCUACAAGGUGAUAUAAACCAAGGGGGACAACCUAUGAUUGUGGAGAACAAUCUUAUAAGUAGGAGAGUCACUUGAAGCCCACAUUCGUGGAAGGAAAUUAUGAUAGUUUUUAGUUAUUAUUUUAUUACAUGAAUAAAUGAGAAUAAUUCUCAUGGGUAGUUUUUGCCAUGUCAUUAGAAUUAAUAUUGUCUCAUGGUCCAAUAAAGGGCAAAAAAUUAAUGCACUACCAACAAUUAAUGUUGAGUAUGUGUCUAGUGCUACUUGUUGUUCUUAAUUGUUAUGAUCAAGCACCAACUAGAGGACUAUAACACAUUUUUAAGCCAAAUUCCCAUAAUAUGUGAUAAUAUUAUAGCUAUUAAUCUUUCAAAGGGUCUAAUUUUGCAUUCUAGGACGAAACAUAUAAAAAUUGAGCAUCAUUUCUUUAGUGAUUUCUAGUAGAAAGACAUAAUCAAUAUUUAAUUUGUUCUCUAAUCAUCUGUUGACAAAUAUUUGUACAAAACCCCUACUUGAGGUUCGAAUCAUUUUCAUUUGAAAAACUUUAAUAUCAUUAAUAUUGGGGAUGUAUUCACUUAGUCGUCUACUAGUCUUGCCUGAUAUUGGAUAUUCAAUGCAUCUUAUAGUUGUUGCUUUAAGUGGACUCGUCCAAUGUAACAUUGGUCUUGUAUUAUUUGUCAUGAUAGUCUAGUCUAGUGCGUAUUAAAUGUCAUUAAUGUGAUUGUAAUUCUAAUGAGUUAAUUGCAUAUUCAUUAUAGUAUCAGGUAGAUUCUUCCAAAUUCUGCUUACAUAUUUACAUCUAUGUGGUUUUACUGGCAGUUUCACAUUCUAGUGGUUAUAAAUGCUUAAGUGAAUUAAAUAUUGAGUUUAUAUCUCACAUUACUAAUUCUGCACUACCAAUACCGUUAAACACUCUCAAUCCCAUAUAGGUUGGGAAGGCUUGCUAAGUAAAGAAUACUUAGUUAAGUUUAGAGCUUCGAGAAACUUGGUCUUAGUUAAGUUUAAAGCUUGGAGAAACUUGGUCUAGAAAUAAUACAUAAUUAUUAGACUCUGAAGAGACUCGAUGUAAGAAAAACACUUGCAUGAAGAGGUGUUGGAUACUUGUAAGUUGUUGGGGGAAUAAUGAAAAAUCUUUCUAUGAGAAGGGACUGUAAUUGCAAGCAUGAAUCACAUGAGUAGAUUGAAUAUGUAAGCAUGCAUCACAUAAAUUUUGAUGGAGACAAAGUUGUAGACAAAGGAUCAAGACAAAGUCGAAGACAAAGGUUGUAGACAAAGUUGUAGGAGGUGAUAAAAUAGUGAUAGGAGAAAUGGGAGAGGGGACUUGUGUAGAAGGAGACAGAGGGAGACAUAGGGUGAGGAAUGGAAUGUGGAGUAGGAAAAUGAGCACCACGUGGUGAGGAAGCAUAAUCAAUGGAAUGAAAAGGAGACUCAUGAUAGAUGACAGAAGGAUGAGGGAUGUCAGUGUGAUGAGGAGUAGAAACAGAAGUGUGAGGGAGAUUAGCAUAAGGGAAUUUAGACUCAUUGAAAAACACAUCUUUUGAUUUAUAAAUUCUCCCUUCUUUGGAAAGGCAUUUAUAUCCCUUAAGACUUAAGGAAUAGCCAGGAAAUGUGCACUCUGAACUCCUAGGAUCAAGUUUAUGCUUAUUAAAGGGUGUAAGUAAAGGAAAGCAAGCACACCCAAAAACUUUGAGAAAAUUAUAAUCAGGUGAGUGGCCAAACAUAACUUGAUAAGGAGAUCUUCUGAUAAUCUUUUUUACAUAUCUUCUGGUCGUGGUACAUUUUGACAUUUUCCUUGUAUAAAUUGGAGGACUCAUAUGCAACGAGACUCAUCUCUUCCAAUUGUUGUAAUUGCAGCUUCCUUUUCUCACUGGAUGCCUUCUUAUUCACAUUGAAGAAUUUAAGAGCCCCAAAUGCCUUAUUUUCAAGCUCCAUCGGGAGAUGAUGACAUGUUUUUCCAUAGACUAGCUGAUAGGGGAUAAUCCAACAGGAGCCUUGAAUGUCAUCCUGUAAGCCCAUAGUGCAUCAUCCAAUCGUAGAGACCAAUCCUUUCUUAUUGUUGAAACUAUUGUCUCUAGGAUCAUUUUUAUCUCUCUAUUGGAUACCUCCGAUUGUCCAUUUGUUUGCAUAUGGUAGGAUGAUGCCACCUUGUGUUGGACCCCAUAAUGUUGAAGAUAUAAAGGAAGAAAGAAUCAAGGAGUUCUUUGUUUGAGAGUUCUGAACAUGAUGAUGAAUUUCCCUGGAUCAAACUCCAACUUCUUCUCACUUUGAUGAUUGAUGCAUGCAACAGUAACAACCAGACAUGGUAGAAAUAGAAAUUCAUGUUAAAUUUGAGUACUCAACAAAAACAUUGCAUUAAUAGCAUCCUAAAAUCAAAGGAAACACCCACAAAAAUUUUCAAUCCCGAAUAUACCGUAGUCAUGUAUUACAUGCAAUAGUAAAAACCGUAAAUGGAAUAAUUGGAAAUUCAUGUUGAAUUUGAGUAAACAACCAAAACUUUGCAUCAAUAACAUCCUAAAUCCUAUAUUUCAUGAAUUAAAAUACUUAAACAAUCUAAAUAAUUCCUAAGAUAGAAAUAAAUCCUAAACCUAUAUGAGAAUGCAAUCUCAUUUACUUGAUUCAAUGGAAAUAAGAUAAAUCUAAGUAGAAAGUAAUCUAAGGACAUAAAUGUCCUUCUCAUCAACCCUCUCUUAGGUCAAUUGUGUCCUUUGAGACCUUAAGAACCCUUGCCUUGGCCUUGGCCCUAGUUGUAGGACCAUCAUGACUUCCUUUUCCCUUGGGAUCAAAGGUUGUUGUAGGAGGGUUUACAUCAAUUAGGAUGAGGAUGAUGACAAGGGUAAGGAUGAGGAUGAGGAGUGUAACACCCCAGUUAUGACAUGCGACCUCCUAGGCCCAUGAAUAUACUGAGUGUGUCACCCACAAGCUUAAAUACUCCCUGCAUUAUUUUAUUCCCCUCCUAGGGGAGCCUUCCGCUACUCGAACCCGUGACCUCAGGGAUACAUAGUCACUAUGCCACUGAGUCGCUACCAUUAAGCUAGACUAACUUAAUGGUAGCUACCCAGUGGUAUAGUGACUAUUUAUACCUGAGGUCACAGGUUUAAGUCGCGGAAGGCUCCCCUUGGAGGGGAAUAAAAUACUUCAGGGAGUAUUUAAGCUUAAGAGGUGACACACUCAGUGUAUUUAUGGGCCUGGAAGGUCACAAGUCAGGGUUGGGGUGUUACAAUAAAAAAGGCGCCUUUUUAUUGUAACACCCCAGUUCUAACAUGCGACCUCCCAGACCCAUGAAUAUACUAAGUGUGCCACCUCUUAAGUUUAAAUAUUCCCUGCAGUAUUUUAUUCCCCUCCAAGGGGAGCCUUCCGCGACUCGAACCCGUGACCUCAGGGAUAAAUAGUCAUUAUACCACUGAGUCACUACCAUUAAGCUAGCGUCUCAGUGGUAUAAUGACUAUUUAUCCCUGAGAUCACGGGUUCGAGUCGCAGAAGGCUCCCCUUGGAGGGGAAUAAAAUACUGUAGGGAGUAUUUAAGCUUAAGAGGUGGCAUGCUCAGUAUAUUCAUGGGUCUGGGAGGUCGCAUGUCAGAACUUGGGUGUUAUAAGGAGGAGGAUGAGGAUUAGGAUGAGGAGGAGAAGGAGGAUGAGUAUGAGGAUGAGAAUAGGAUGAGGAUGAGGACGAAGAUGAGGAUGAGAACGAAGACGGGGAUGAGGAUGAGGAUUAGGAUAAGAUGAGGAUGAGGAUGACGAUGAGGGUAGGAUGAGGAGGAGGAUGAGUAUGAUGAUUACGAUGAGAAUGAGGAUGAGGUUGAGGAUGAGGAUGAUGACGAUGAUGAUGAUGAAGAUGAGGAUUAGGAUGAGGACGAGGACGUGGACGAGGAUGAGGAUAGCAUGAAGAUGAGGAUGAGGACGAGGAUGAGGAUGAGGAGGAUGAGGAUCGAAUUAGGAUGAGGAUGAUGAUUAGAAUGAGGAUGAGGAUGAAGAUGAGGAUUAGGAUGAGAAUGAGGAUGAGGAUUAGGAUGAGGAUAUGAUGAGCAUUAGGAUAAGGAUAGGACGAGGAUGAGGAUGAGGAAAAGGAUGAAGAUUAGGAUGAGGACGAGGAUAAGAAUGCGGAUGAUGAUGAGGAUGAGGAUGAGGAUGAGGAUGAGGAGGAGGAUAUGAUGAGGAGGAGGAUAGGAUGAGGAUGAGGAGGAGGAGGAGGAUAGGAUGAGGAUGAAGACGAGGAUGAGGGUGGGGAUGAGGAUAGGAUGAGGACGAGGAUGAAGAUGAGGAUGAGGAUGAAGAUAAGGAUUAGGAUGAGGAGGAGGACGUGGACGAGGAUGAGGAUGAGGAUAAGAUUAGGAUGUGGGUGAUGAUUAGAAUGAGGAUGAAUAUGAGGAUUAGGAUAAGGAUUAGGAUGAGGAUGAGGAUAGGAUGAGGACUAGAAUGAGGAUUCAAAUGAGGAUAUGAUGAGGAUGAGGAUGAGGAUGGGGAUAAGGAUGAAGAUUAGGAUGAGGACGAGGAUAAGAAUGAGGAGGAGGAGGAUGAGGAUGAGGAUGAGGAUGAGGACGAGGACAAGGACGAGGAUGAGGAUGAAUAUGAGGAUGUGAUUGAGGAUGAGGACGAGAACAAGGACGAGGAUGAGGAUGAAUAUGAGGAUGUGAUUGAGGAUGAGGAUGAGGAUGAUGAUUAGGAUGAGGACGAGAAUAAGGAUGAGAUGAGGAUAGGAUGAGAAUGAAGAUGACGAUUAAGAUGAGGAGGAGGAUGAGGAUUAGGAUGAGAAUGAGGAUGAGGAUGAGGAUGGCAAAGUUUUGGUUGUAUACUCAAAUUUAACAAGAAUUUAUACUUUUGUCGUCUGGUUAUUACUGUUACAUGUAGUGCAUCACUAGGGGAAAUUCGGGCUCUUUCCAUUGAAUUUUGAUAAAUUAUAUUUUUUGCAUAACUUUUGAACUGUGUAUCAGAAUUGGACAAAUUUUGUAUACAUUUCGAGUAGAAAAAUCCAUUUUUCUGACAUUUCCUACUACGUCUGAAAACUCAUUCCGGAAAAUUCAAAAAACCAAAUUUCUAUUUCUUUUAUAUUUUUGAAGAUUUAUAUUGAAUUUGUCUUGAAAUUUUCUUGUAUACAAGUUCAAAGACAUGCUUCAAGACAUGGACAAAUCAACAAACAAAAAAGUCAAGGUCAAGGCUCAAGAUCACUCAAGCUUAAUGAUAAGUGUAAAAAGUAUACACUUUUCACCAUCAUUUUAUGGCACUUAUCCAAUGCAAGUUGUAGUAAACCAACUUAAAUUAACACUUUUUAGGUGAAUUUUGCAUGAUUGAAUAAAUUAGUUCUUUAUUAAUUCUUGUCCAAGUUUUCUUUGAGUUUUUUAGGAAAUUGAAUAUUAAAGAAUAAAUCCAAAGAUGGACAAGAAUUCAAUCAAAAAUUCAANNNNNNNNNNNNNNNNNNNNNNNNNNNNNNNNNNNNNNNNNNNNNNNNNNNNNNNNNNNNNNNNNNNNNNNNNNNNNNNNNNNNNNNNNNNNNNNNNNNNGCUUACUUCGUCUUGAAGAAACCUAAGUUAAGGUAGACCAAACAACUUGCAAAAAUCAAAUGCUGACCUUAACUUAAAGAAAACAGCCCAAAAGUGUCAAGCAACUAACAAAAAUCAAGUAACAAACCAAAGAAAAAAAAGGUUGCUUCACCAUGAAGAAAUCAUGCACAAAGCUGUCCAGCCAAGCACGAAGCACCAGGUCAAGUCAGCUAAGCAUCAGGCCAGGUCAGCUAAGCACCAGACCAGGUCAACUAAGCACGAGGUCAGGUCAGCUAAGCACGAGGCCAGGUCAGCUAAGCACUAGGUCAUGUCAGAUAGGCACUAGACCAUGUCAGCUAAGCACCAGGCCAGGACAAUCAGGUCCACGCCUAGCUAGGACCAGGUCAGCUGAGCUUCUCAAACAGGCAGCUGAGCGUGGAACCAAGUCAGCUGAGCUGCUCAAGUAGGCAGCUGAGCGUGGGACCAGGUGAGCUGAGCGUCUGGCCCAUCAAAAAAUGAUUGCUAGGUCAACUCAUGGAACAUCCCACUUUUUCUUUGCUUGAAGGCCAAGAACAUGACCUCAUGGAAGACAUAAGACUUUGACAAGAAGGAGGAGGUGUCAUCAUGCAUGUAACCUAGCCCAGCAUAAGGGUCAAAUAGGGGCCAAAGUGGCUCUUCAUAGGGGCCAAUGGUCAGCAGCUUAGCUGCCAUACAAGGCAGCGGAGCGCCCAACACCUUGGCCUAUGUAAAGGCAUGAAAUUCUCAAUUCUAAGAUAUUUUACAUUCUUUCCUCCAUAUUUUCCUUUCAUUUUAGGUAGUUUUUAGGCUAGUUUAAGAGUAUUUUUUUCAUAUAAUUCAAGAGGAGAAAGGAGAAGGCAAAUGAGAUGCAAAAAUCCAUUUUGUAAUCUCACUUGGGACUUAAAGCAUUCAAUCUUUGAAUGGAUGGCUAAUGCUCCUACAACUUUCAUUUGGAUUAUGGUAUGUUUGUAUUUCUUUCUUCAUUUUAAUUCAUUUGAAUUUAAUCAUUCAAGUCGGUGCUUUGGUUAAUUUUAUUUGUUUGAGAAGUUAUUAAUGCUCUUUUUAGAUUGAUCACCUAAAAACUGAUUUCAAGUCAUAAAAAUUAUUUGUCUCAAACACUUAACAAAUAAACUAAGAAGUAGUUGUACUACUUAGUUUAUUUGCCAAGUUAAGCAUGCUUUUCUUAAGAUCUUAUAUUCAUUACUACUAUAAUAUUAGAGUCAUCAAUGACUAGAGUGUGACAACCUAGUCUCUUUAUGGACGUAAUAUUGUUUAGUAAUAAAUAUAAGUGAUCAUCAUUUUACCAUUUUAGGACAUACACUAAAAGGAGGAUUUCAGACCUUGGUGUUUGGGGUUAAUCAAAGUAAAACAUAAGAUCUUGUCUAAGUAGUUCAAAUCCAUAAGAAGUUGAGAAAUACUUUCAUCAUUCAAAAUGAUCUUGUCUCCUCAAGAAUUUGUUAAUAUUUAGUUUAUGUUUNNNNNNNNNNNNNNNNNNNNNNNNNNNNNNNNNNNNNNNNNNNNNNNNNNNNNNNNNNNNNNNNNNNNNNNNNNNNNNNNNNNNNNNNNNNNNNNNNNNNAAAAUAUGUUUAACUCAUUAUUUGUGCAUUGACAUAUUCAAAUGAUUCAUUCUAUUAGGCAAUUCCUUAUGGUUCGACAUAACCCUAUACUAUACUACAAUUGAAUCUUGAAAGAUGUGUAAAUUGUAAAAUAGUAAAGUGUUAUCAAUAAAUUUAUUUGUUGAAACACCUUUUAAUAUACAAAAGUGAUGAAACUAACUUACUAACUUUUAUUUAUUGUUAUUUACAUUCCACCAUUUAUUUAUUCUUUAAUACCAACCUUCCUUAAGGAAGAAGUUUGGUUUGUUAAUAAAAGGAACCCGAAGGGAGUAAAUAAAUAAAGGUCACUCAAAUUUAUUAUUCUUUUGUUCUUUAUUUAUUUAUUUGUUUCUAACAACUAACUAUUCAUCAUUUUUGUACAUUAGAAUACCAUUAAACCGGCGUUGGAAUUUAUUCCACAAAACCGAGAUAGUAUUCAAAGGUACUUAAUAAUUAUAUAAUAGGGGAUUUCUUCAAUACCAUUGUACCGGCGUUAGAAUUUAUUCUAACAAAUCCGAGAUGGGGCAAAGAAGGAAUAACCUAUUCACAUGAUUAUUAGAAGUAAGUUGUAACUGAAAUAUUCUUGAAACCAUUAUACCGGCGUUGGAAUUUAUUUCAACAAAGCCGAGAUGGUGAACAAAGAAUAAAACCGAAUUCACUUACUUAAUCAAAUAAAAAGGAAAACACACCGAAUUGAGGGAUAUUCCGCUUUCAAUAAAUUGGCGCCGGAUAAUUUGUUGAGAGGGGAAAACCUACUUCUCCUCCAGAAAAAUCUUUCAACACUUAAGCAUGCAAGAAUCUAGAGGCCAAGUGUUUUUAUAUUUUCUUAGGUCUUAAGAUGUUUGAUUUGGUAGAGUCUAGGCUAGGUGAACCUUAAAGGAAGUCUCACAACCUAAAAUUGAUCAAAACUAAAAGGAAACUUAUAUGCAUACAUAUAUGAUUUACAUGCACAUGCAAAAAUACAUGAUCAUAUGGUUUAGAUGUUUUAUACAGAGUUUUAAAUUAUACAUCAUUCAAAUCCAUGCAUCAUUCUUUUAUAAAUAACGUAGGAGGUUCAUUUUGCAUUAAAGUAUCUUUUUUAGAAACCCUUAAUCGAUUAAGGUUUAUUUAAUCAAUUAAACUAUGUAAAAUUGAGAACCCAUUAAUUGAUUAAGUUAAGAGUUAAUGAUUAAUGGUAGUUAUAGUUUCUGAAAUUUUGAUUUUUAAAGAAUCGCUAAUCAAUUAAGUAGAGUGUUAAUCGAUUAACUUUACCAGAAAAUAAAACUCUAUAUUAAUCCAACUUUUUCCAUUUGCAUCUCAUAACACAUCAAGAAUUUCACUAAGCUUAUACACUUUCAUAUAAAAAGAUAGAUUUCCCUAAGUGUUUUUGAAAACGGGAAAAAAGAGAAAACUUCAUGAAUCUCUAGAGAAGAUUUCAAGAAUUGUAUUGUCAACUUUACAAAAAAGUCUUGCAUCUCACAGUUCAAUACUCCGAGUUUGUGAGACUUGAAAAAGGUUUUUAGAUUCUGGAAUGGUGUAUAUUCAGUACAUCUUAGGUGCAAUUACUCGUUUUGUACAUAUUUAGACUUUGGUAUCAACAUUUCUCUUAGGUUUGUGGUAUUACCAAGUAGAAGAGAAAAGGUUUGGGAAAACCCUGGUUAGAAGUGGUUAGAUACCAUUAAAAGCUAGGUUCGCUAAACAAGAGUCUUGGUAGGAGAAGUUAGAAGUGGUUGAGCCGUCCAUUAGAAGUGGUGAGGAGUCAUUAGAAGUGGGUGAAUGCAAACCAUUAGAAGCUUGAAGUCCAAGAUUUUCUUGGUGGAAGUAUGUUUGUAAAACAUUGAUUUCCAUGGUGAAGAAAAUCUCUCAAUAUCAUAAGGGGAUGCAUGUAUGUAGUUUGCACGUAGACUAGCAAACGAACUAGGAUAAAAGUCAUUGUCUCAUUCUUCUUAUCCUUUAACUCUUUACGUUUUUGCAUUGUUUGAUUUACUUAACUUGACAAUCAUAUCAUUCUCUAUUAAGUGCAUUUUUUUUGUGUGCAUUAAUCGUGUCUUAUCGUAUGUAAGAGUGCAUAUUUUAUUUUGUGCACUAGUUAAUCAAUUAAAGAGUGAGGAAUUUUGUAAAAUCGUUUUGUUGAUGAACAACGGUAAUCGUGUAACGAACCGGACCACAUAUUCACCCCCUCUAGGUAAAGUAUAGAGUCCUUGUGUACCAAUAGGGACUGGACGUAGCUAUUAAAAGUGAACCAAUAUAGAAAUAUUUUUGUUAUUUUCUCUAUCCCUAAACUCUUUAUUGUUUUCGAUUAUUUCUGGCCAUUGGGACUUGAACUUUUUAUAAGUUAAUAUUUUGGAAACAUAUUAUAUUUGUCAUUAUUUUGUAAUUGUUUAUAAAAAAAGUUUUAUUAAAGAAUAUAUUUUUUAAACUUAACUAACACAAUUUAAUCUUUCUUUUGUUUACAUGUGCCAACUUCAUAAGAAUUUUGAUCUUUCAAUAUACUUAAUAUGAAUAAUCAUAAUAUCCUCAUCUUCUAGAAUUGAAUGUAAAAUAUGUUUUAGAUGUUGUCCAUUGUAACUACACAUAUAUCAUUGUGACACAUAGGAUUGUAAAGUAAGGUUUUGGUCAUUAAUUAUCACAUAUUAUUAUAUUUAAUACACUUUAAUAAAAUCAAACAUUCUUAUAAUAUCUUUAAUGAAUAAUAAAAAUUGUAAAUAAUUAUUCAACGAAAAUUAAAUAACUAUUUGAAUAUAAACUUAUACAAUCAUAAUAAGUUAUAAGAUGAAAUAUGCAUAUAAAAAUAUGUAGACAAAUUUUGUACAAAUAGAAAAUGAGUCUCCAAGACCAGUUAAUGAUUCAAUGUGUCAUAUAAGAAAGACACACGUAAUCUCACCCUAGACAUCAUAUGUCACAUAAGAAACACUAUUAAAGUUUUGAAAGGAAAUUUAAUGGAAUGGUUAUUUUCUUACAUUCAUGUAAGUUGAAGAUUGAAAAUUGCACAAAAAAAAUCAUGGGACUAAAAUCAUAUAGUUGAGAAACGAGACCAAAACUGCAUUAUGAGUUAUUUUGAAUCAUUACAUCCAAACAAAAUCAAAUGUCAUUAAAAAUAAUGAAAUACAAUAUAUUCAUUAGUUACCACAAUAUAAAACAUGCAUGUGAACAUGGAGGAAAGUAAUAUAGAGAACUUAAAUUAAAAUGCAAUAACUAAUGAAUAUUAAAUUUAAGGGAAAAUCUCAACUUUUAUAAUACAUUUUAAUAACAUUUAUCUAUUAAAAAUUAGGACACUUUACAAAAAUUAAGCUUUGAUCUGAUUAGAUAGAUAAAAAAUGAGGAUAUACAUAAUGUAAUUUAUUGAAGUUAUAAAUUCAGUUUUAUAAUAUAAGUUAGAUAUUUUGUCAUUUUACAUUUUUAAAAAUAGUAAUAAUAUAGUGAGGUAGUAGCAAAAAAGACUUAUAUCACAAAAUUUAGAUCUCAAACAUUAAUCUCUUCUAGAAGUGGUAAAAUUAUCAACAAUCCAUUCAAAUAUAAGAAAAUUAAAUUCAUCUAAAUUCACUUAUUAUAGCUAAUGAAUUGAAUGGAUAAUUUUAAUAAUGAAUGGAUUUGAUUUCAUCUAUUAUAUUCAUGAAUAUAUUCAUUUGAAUGAAUAAUCCAUCCAAAAAACAUUCACACGCGAUUUUUGUUUGCUUUUCAAUUUCAUUCACUAUCUCAAUUCUUAGUUUCUUGUAGUGUUUCUUGCUCUCACUUUGAUUUUUUAUUAAAUUGACAUCAAUCAUAUGACAUUUAGAUAUGAUUAGUAUUAAAAGUUUGUUCUUAAAUAUAUAAUAUAUAUAUAUAUAUGUUAAAAAAUUUACAUGUAGAACCUUAAAUGUCCUACGCUUGUAGGAUAUUGCAAAAAAAUAAUUUUUUAAAGUUCAAAAGUCAUUUUUUUAAAUGUUCUUUAAACAAAUUAAAGAAUAGUUUUCAAAAGUAACAUUUAUUAGUGUCUAAUUUGUUUUGACAUUUAAAAUUCAUGUAACUAUCAUUUAUAAUACUAACAUAGAUAUAACAAAACUAUGACUUUGUAUGGUGUUGUUAUUUUAUUUUAAAAUAUAGAUCAAUUUUUUUAAAAAGUAAACAAAGUUUUUUGUCACUUUUUACAAUGUAAGAAUUUAUACACUAUUAGUGCAUUAUUCAUCAUUCACUUGUAUUACUUUUAUCUUUUAUUUAAGAGUUAUGAUGGCUGAAAAUAAAAAGGUUGAUGAUACAAUAAUAUAAAAUCUCUUACAUUAUCGAUAAAUACAUUUUUUCUCUACUAAAACUAUAGUGAAAGUAAUUUAAAAUAUAUUAAAUAUACAUAGUAUUUAUAGUUUGGAUUGGUGACAAAGAAGAAAAUUAAAAGAAUGAACGCUUAAAAAUUAUUUUUAAAAGUGAUUUAAAAAAACUCAUUUUAAAAAUGCUUGAUUGAAAUAAAUGUUUUUAACAGAAUUAUUUUCUUGAAAAAUAUUUUUAGUUUUAAAUAAAAAAAUUGAAUUGAUAGGAUAUUAAUUUAUCCAAUCCAUUAAAAUAUAUUUAUGGAUAAAUUUAAAUUUAUCUAGUAAAUUUAGAUAGAGAUGAAUUGGACAAUUCAAAAUAUAAUUUGAAUUAUUGAUGAAUGACCUUUCAUCUAUUAAGAUCCAAAUUUAAAUUCAUUUAUUUCUUACUCAUAACCACAUGAAUUAGAUCAUUUAGAUGUUACUAGUUUAGUUUAGAAUCUAACAUUCGAAACAGCCAUUGCCUUCUAUCUUGUUGUCUUUACCAGUAAUGAUUCACCAAGAAAGUAAGGAAUAGUAAAAAGGAUGUGCCUAUCUCCUGCGACAAUACUUGUGAACCAAGGAAAGGGAGGAGGGGAGUACAUCUAUUGUUCAAAAAUGUGAUAUAUUAUAUACCAACUUGUUAUCUUUGAUUGAAAAAAAUAUUAAGUUAAAAAUUUAUGAAUGAAGUUUUUUCUUAAUCAAUUAAAACUUAUUGCACAUGGAGUGAUUCAUUAUUGGGACUGCUUCUACCAAAAAAAUUAAAAUUACUCCUAUCAUGUUCCAAGCUUUCUUAUCUUUUGUAGGGUGAACAUGGGUUGAGUGAGACUUGUCCUGGGUCCGAUCCUAAAUGUUGGUCAAAUAAUUUUUUGAACUCGGACCGACCCUAAACCUGAAGCUAACCCGACCCUAAACGUUAAAUGAGUCAACCUUUGAACCCGAACCCGAACCUAACCUUAGACUAGAUUAAAUAUAAUGCAAACUCAUUUUAGAUGAAAAUAUUUGACAUAUAAAAUUAUAUAUGUAUAUGUAUUAUAAUCAUGUAAUAUGAUGAAAAAACAGACAAGCAAGUAUAUUUUCGAUCAAAUAGAUGUCAUUAUUGUGUACACAAUUAAAUAUAGAUACAUACAAAUAUAAUGAGUAAAUGACAAUAAGACGGGUUGGGCUGAGUUAUGAUUGUUCCCUAUCCAGACCUAAAUAUUAACCAGAUUAAAUUUUUGAACUCAAACUCAACUCUUGAUCCAAUGAGAUCCAAUCCUAUUUAGAUCUCAUCAUAAUUCAAUCAAACUAGAUAAGCGGAUAGGGUUGGAUUUUGCUCAUCCCUAAUCUCUUGUCAUUGUAAACAAGAAUAAAUCAGAAUUAUAUUUAGAGCUUUAAAGAAAAACUGUUUCCAAGGAUAUGGUUGGGAACGUAGUGUGGGUGUCCCUCCUCCUACAAAUGAGGCAUUAGCAAUCUCCAGUGCUUAGAAGGAUGUUCCAAUAGCUUCUUCUACUACUUCAUUGCACGGAGUGUCAAGAGAUCUUGAUACCAACAUAUCUUCUUCUCCCAUAACAGUGAGGAGUUUUCCAUCCCCUGAAGCCUGGAUCCAUGGCCUUCCCAACAAACAGCUAUAACUGGGAUUAAUACCCAUGAUAUGGAAUACUAUCUGGAAAGUGAAGGGUCCUAUUUUUAUAGGCAACUCCAUUUCCCCCAUGACAUCCCUAUUGGAUCCAUCAAACGCCUUCACUACCAUAGAGCUUGGUCUCAUAUACGAUGCAUCGACUGAAAGUCUGAAUAAUGUCAUUUUCGACAUGACAUUGAGGGACGAGCCAUUAUCGAUAAUAACCUUACCAAUUAAGCAAUUCUGAUACAUUAUAGAGAUGUGUAGGGGACUAGUGUGUCCCAUUCCUUCAUAAGGUAUUUCCUGAUCACUGAAAGAAAUGUAAUUAUCAGCCACGAUGUUGUUGAUGAUACCACCAAGUUUGUCAGUGGUUAUGUCGUGGCUGACAUGUGCAUGGUUCAGUAUCUCCAUCAGCACUUUUCUAUUGGGUUCAGAACUCAUUAGCAGAGACAAAAUGGAUAUUCUGGCUGAAGUGGGGUUUAGUUGAUCCACGACCCUAUACUCACUCUGUUUUAUGAACUUUAGAAAUCACAAGCCUCCUCAUUAGAUACUUCCCCUUUAUCUCCAUGCUUAUGCAAUAGAUCAUUCAGAUUGGCCUCCAACUCAUCUUCCACAUGGAUACAUGCUUUCCCUUUUCCUUUAUCCUUGGCUAAGGCCUUUUCAGCAUCUGAGAGAACAUAAACACCUCCACUUCUAGUUAUCCGACUGUCCCCAACAACAUUGGUGACUUCUAUCUGUUGUCUCUGAAUUAUCUCCACUAUAGAUCCAAGGUACUACUUUAUCUGUCUUGUAAGGGAAAGGUCAUGGUCUCUCCUCUGCUGCAGGCCUUAGAACAGGCUCCAUCCUACUUAUGACUGGCACCCUUCGAGUUAUUUGUGGGUGUAACUGAGCAUUAUCCGGAAUGUUCAAUACAGGUUCAUAACGAGUAAUUAAUGACCUCAUGGUCCUUCUCAUAUCUUCCUCACUUCUUGUAGUAGCAUUAACAGUUUAAUACGAAGGCCCCCUCUCUAUUGUGAUCAAUCUCAUAUCCAGCAUCUUCUAUAACAAGAGCUUAAAUUCUGGACACUCCUCUAGGGUGUGACCCACUUCACCAUGCAACUCACAACUAGCUGAGUCUUCAUUCUCCACCAACCUUUCCACCAUUCCACGUUUGCACAUUUCCUGAAAAAUUACCCUCAUAGGUGUUCUUAUCUCAUCUGCCUCCCAAACGAAUGUGCUACCCUCAGCCUCAUCUAUAGCAUUCACACCCUGAUUCCUAUGGUUAGGUAAUGGAUUAUAGUCCACAUCUGGCACAAUGGGCUUGAAAUGUAGUUGCUUUGCAUUGAUCAGGCUUUGCACCUUAUGCCUUAGAGCCUAACAGUGUUCGAUGGAAUGACCAAUGGCCCUAGAGUGGUACUCGCAAGUAACAUUUGGGUUAAACUAGGGUCCGGGUGAUUCAGGCACUACUCCUAUUAUAAGGCUUAUCAUGCUCUCCCUUAGAAGAUGAGAGUAUAGUCCAACAUAGGGUAUUAGUAUUGGGUCGAAUUGUGGUCCUCUUCUCUCGUGUUAGGAUAAUUACGGUUUUGGGUUUGGUUUUGGCGGGUUUGGUAGGUUUGUGUUUGAUUAUAGUUUUGGCGGUUGUUAUUGUGAAUGUGUAGUUGAGUUGUGCGGAAGGUGUGGCGAUGUAUGAGGCCUGGUAUUUAGGGUUUUGGGUUUUAUAUCCCUUCGGCUCAAUGAAGACCGCAAGUGCUUCUCUCUCCUUCUUCUUCAUAAAGUUGGGCUUCUUGCCCGUGCCUGAUUUGAAUUGAUCUACUGCUAGCUUCCCACUCCUUAUGCGCCCUUCUAUUUUCUCCCCCACCUUAAUGAGUACCUUGAAGCUCGAUGCAACACUUCCCACCAAGUAAUCAUAAUAGGGCUCCUUCAAAGUAUCCACGAAGAUAGACAAUUGUUCUUCCUCCUCCAAUCUAGGUAUGACUUGUGACGUCAAAGCUCUCCAGCGUUGGGUAUACUCCUUAAAGCUUUCUUCUGGUUUCUUGGCCAUGCUCUGAAGCUAGGCCCUGUCAGGAGCUGCAUCUUCAUUGUACUUAUACUUCUUCAUGAAGGAAUUAGAUAAAUCAACGAAAUUUUUAAUUUGAGCCCUCUCCAAGCGGAUGUACCAGCCAACAACCGCCCCUGUCAAACUGUCUUGGAAGCAGUGAAUCAACAGUUUAUCAUUUCCGUGAUGACUUGUCAUCUUCCUAACAUACAUAUUCAGGUGAUUUUUAGGGCAAGAAGUACUGUCGUACUUCUCGAACUCAAGAGUUUUAAAUUUUGGUAGAAACACUACAUCUGGUACCAGGCAUAUCUCAAAUGCAUUUUUUACAUCAAGAAAGUUUGUGCCCUCGAUGGCUCUUGUUAUCGCUUUAAUAAGCUCAAACUCUGUCUUCUCUUGGCUUGAGGAGUCAUCUGGGGUACCCUUGUUUAUCUUAGUUUCAGCCUGGUGGCUUGUGGACUUGCCUUUAGGAGGAAGAUCGUGAGUAGGAUCUUCAUCUUUCUCGUUGUCGUCUUCCUCGGCUGAAUGUUGUUCUUCUUGACCAUCAGCAGUGUCUUCAUACCUUAUGACAACACCCUUACGACGGUUGGCACUAGUAACUAUCUUUGGACCCACCUUUUGUGCGGACUGCAGUUGUCUCGCACCUGGCGCAGUGGUAUCUUCUUCUGAGCCUCGAGCCUUUUGCAUAUCCAAGAUGAUUUUCAUCAUCUGAUUCAUUUUCUCUUUGAUUUCAGCAAGCUCGGACCUGUUAUCAGUGCUACUGGAUUCUUGGUCUGCCAAUAGGUUGGAUUGCAGUCUCGUGUGGUAAGGAUGUCUGGGAGCAAUGUUUAGAUGAUACUUGAGGAAACAAUGUUUUAUUAUUUAAAUGAAGAAAAUAAUGAUGCAUGCAAUGGGUUUUAUUUUUCCUUUUUUAAAAAAAAAUUCAAUUUCAUUUUGAGGUUCGGUAUAGCAAGACGUUUUGACCCGCAGUUGGUGACCGUGAGGCAUGCCCCCGUUGGCCUUUCCUGCGUUGAUGACAACUUUAAGUUUUGGAUUAUCAUUGCAUCUACAUUCGUUCUUUUAAUGUGAGUUACUAACAUUAAACAUCUUGCCCUACACUUGGUAAUUUGAGAGCGUACUCUACAAGACCUUAUGCAGUUGAUGGCGAUCUAAGAGAACACGCAAAGUUUCGGACCUAGAUCACAUCUAAAUACAAGUUGUUAUUAUCUCUCUCAUAUGAUUUUUUCUCUUUUUUUGUUGAUGUUGUGGUUCAUAACAAGAAAAACGACCUCUGAAUAUUUGCACCACAUUGAAUAAUAUAUUUCAUAACAAUAAGAAGCUUGGUAGCAACAAGAAUCUGAGUAGCAAUAAUGUAUUAUUUUAUUCCUGGAAAAAUAGUAAUAAUAGAUAUUACAAGACUAUAUUUUUCUAUGUCAUGUACUCAAAAUUCCCUAUUUGCUAAGACCCUCCAUCUUCUUAAGUCUCUGGCUACUUUCUUGCAAGACUCCUAGAAUGCUUUCAUAGUUGGGAGCAGCUCUGUCUCUGGAUACAUCUCUAGUUCCCUCUUGGCAUCAAAGAAUGUCCCCAGCCGAUCAUCGACAAAGUCCCCAAGGCCAUCAACCAUAUUUUUGCAUCUAUUUUCCUAUUGAUAUUUUUCUUCUUGGCUUUCUUGGACUAUUUCCCAAUUUUCUGACCAUGCCUCCUGUUUGGCUGUCACUUCAUCAUAUGAUCUUUGGAGGUACCAGAGCUUCCUCGAAAGAUGACUCUCUCUAUUACUUGCAACUGUUAUGGAUUCAUGGUGAAUUUUCUACGUAUCUUCCAAAAUUGUCUUGAGAUGGUCUACCUUCUUCAUUGUCUCAUCAAGUGCAAACUGAUAAUCUUUUAACUAUGCCCAUGUCUCAUUCUCAUUUUGUUGACUUUCGUGGAGGGCUGCUUGCAAUAGUUCACAUGAUGCUUCUAGAUCUUUUUUAUCGGCUUGUGCAUCAUUGAUAACGCGAUUUCGAGCCUUUAUCUGUCAAUUGAAGUCAGCUAGUUGGACAUCUUUUUCCUAUACUCUUGAUCAGACGGUAUUUUUUAGAUUGAGAACACAUCUGAGCAUAAUCCCUUUUCAGACUAGCUUCUUCCUUUCUUAAUGCCACCAUGGUCUUAUUAAGCUUCCCUAUGGUUAGCUCGUACUUCUCAAUUUUGCAUUGGGCUUCCUCUAGUUUCGCAUAAGAGAUUUUGAACUGAAUCUUUAACAACUCAUUUUUUAAGGGACCAGCUGGUUCAUGGGGUGGGAGACCUUGGCGGGAUGACUUCACCUUCCCUUCUCUCACUGCGCCACAAGUUGUAUUCUUCAGUGUAGAAAGUUUGAUGCUCUCCUAACUCAUUUUUUUCAUAGAUGUGGAUGUUCUUCAAUGCAUUCCUUACCAUGUCCAGGGUUUCUUUUGAUAGUUUCUUUGUCCUUGUACCAAAUCAUGAAUCCCUGCAAUUGCUCCUGAGGGACUGGCAUCAUGCCCCAUUUCAUCUGUCCAAGUACUAAAGCAGAGGUGACAGUAAUACAUCCCCGAGGUCCCAUGAGCACUAUAUUGGGAUAGUUUCCACAUAAGUACAUGACUUCAUCCUGCUUAUCAUACAUAGUGCAUUUAGUCCCAAAAUUUCUAGGGGUGACAUCCUUGAAUAGUGCCUCUCAGUCAGAUAGUUGCAUAGGCUGGAGCUUGGUGUUUCUGAAUAGACGAAGAGGAUUGAUUGUCCAAUCUAGAUAUCGAUCAUGCUUGAACCUGGUCACCAUCCAUACAUAAAGUAGUUGUGCACAACAUCUGAUCUUAGGAAUACCCUUUUCGAGACUUCUCUAGAGGGUGAGAAGGGUGUCUGCUAGAACGGCAGGAACUGGGUUGACUCCUAACUUUCUAAACUUGACUAGGACAUCAAUCGUGUACCGGUCCACCAUAUCACUAACAAAGGGGAAGAGGAGUCUACCAUAGAUGGCUAAUGCAAAUGUUGGUUUAAACGAACUCCAAUCUUCUUUCUCCACCACUUGGUCAAGAUGCUUUUUCAUAAAGCUCCACUUCAAUCCAUGACAAAGCCCUUGCUUGAUAAUUUAAGAAGUAGUUGGAGUACGACUAUCAAUUCUUCAAUGAGACCUUCAAUGACAUUUUGUGUGCCAGUGGACAGAUAUACCUUAAGCCGACUCUCUAGUGGGAUGUCCAGAAGAAUAUCAUACUCUUCAAUUGUUGGAGAAGCGUCUACAUUUGGAAACUCGAAAAUAUGCAGGGAUAUAUUCCAGUAUUUUGCCAUGGCCCCCAUAGCAUCUAAAGCACCAGCAUCAAUAGGAACGAGAAGAAGAUCUGCCAGUUUACCAUACUCUUUUGCAAACUGAGUCAUAACAUCUUUAGAGACUUUGGCGAGGAGCUCCACCAAAUGGCCUACAUCAAAAGUCUGUAAUUCAAACUUCACUUAAUAUUUUGAAGAUAGAGCGUUGUUAGAACCCACAGUUUUAGAAAUAGCCCCCAUGUCUUGUUAUACCAAAAAACCUUCAGCUGAAAAGGUGCAUGUUUAUUAAUUAUGAUUAAAAUUGUUUAUAGAGUAAAUUACACGGAACUCCCCUCAGUUUUAAUGAAACUACAUGUACUACCCCUCUUUUUUUUACAGUUACACAUACCUCCCCUUGAUCUAACACUGUUAACCUAGAGUUAAGAUGAAUGAUAAAAUACUAAACUACCCUUGAUUUCAAAAAAAAACACCAUUCUUCUUUUCUUUCAACAGAAUACUUCAUCUUUCUCAAGAUAUGGUUCAAGGAAAUCAAAAUCAAAUUUGGCAACUGAGUAUCACAUGAUUAAGAGGUGAGUAGAAACAAUAUCACAUUUUUAUUCUAUUUACAUGUCUUCUAUUGUUUCUAUUUUUUGGUUGUUUCUAUUUUAUUCCCAAAUGUUCUUCAUUCAUUUUGCCUUUGUCCAAUGUGGAAUCAGUUCUUUGAGAACUAAAGUAGUGCAUCAAUAUUUGGCUUCUAAUCAUAGUUCAUUUUUGUAUAUUCAUAUAUUACUGUAAUGUUGUUUUGUUUUUCUUGUGAAUUUUCUUUUUUCAUUUUUUUUCAUUUCCUUGUACUCUAUUGUGUUAAAUUCUGAGAAAGUAUAUGGCUCUUUUAUCUUGAAUUUUUUGUAUUCCAAUUCUUCUAUUUUAUCUCUCUAUUGUUUAAUAAAAUGGUUGAAAGAAUUGUGAGUCAUUUUCUUUCUCAUAUCAAAAACUCACAACCACACAAAUUUCUUGUCACAACAAUGGUGAUGGUGAAACUUUGUUCAAUCAGUAUAUCACUCGUUUUAGAAUUAACAAUCACAAAUUUGUACUAGCACAUAUUGAGAUGUGUCGUAUAUUAAGUAUUAACAUAGAAGUAUAAAUCAAAUCCAAGACCAUGAAUAGUUGGUUAUCUCAGAAUAAUUGUUUAACAUCGGCAUCAAGGUAUGACACACCGGCAUGGUGGUUGUCUUUUAAAUAGGAAAAGUCUCUUGUCUCCAUCUAACAUCAGUAUCAAGCAUGCUACCAAGUUCCAAUGUAGGGAUCUAUAUUUUGAAGAAUAAUUAUUAUCAUUGUUAUAUUUUACCUUAUUUUUUAUUAUAUUUUUUAAUGUGUAGGUAAAAUGACCGAAGUGGUUGAGAACCAGGAUAGUAUCAUUGAUGAAGUAGUAAUCACUGAUGAUGAGGACUAUUUGGAGGAAAUAGAUGAGAGUGAAAGUGAGAGUGAGGAAGUGAAUGAAAGUGAAGGUCUUGAUAGUCGAAAUGACAACGAUAGAUUUAAUAUCUAUGAUGAAAAACUAGAUUUUGGUGCGGGGGUUCAUUCAGGUGAUGAUUUAGUUGAAAUUUAUGUUGAGAGAAAGGUGGUUGGAGGACAAUUUAAACUCCAAUCUGAUGGUAAGGUGAAACUUGAAACCAAUAUGUUAUUUUUGAAUGUUCAUCACUUUAGGGAGGUGUUGAAGGACUAUGUCAUACAAGAGGGAUUUAAGGUGAAGAGAUUGAAAAAUGAAAAGGCAAGAGUCACUGCUAUAUGUGCAGCUAAGGGUUGUGGUUGGCGGAUUCAUACAUCACCUACCCCUGACCAAGUAGCCUAUAAAAUUAAGACUUAUACUGGUGAGCAUAAUUGCAUUAGAACUACUAAGAACUCUAAUGCAACUUCAGUUUGGAUUGCAAAGAAACUAUAGAGUAAGUUGGUUGCUGACCCCAACAUGAACUACUCAAGCAUGAAACAAGAUCUACUUGAACAACAUGGCCUUUAACCAAGUAAACAGAUGCAAUUGUAUCGUGCCAAGAGAAGGGUACAUCAAAAUAGUAGGGGAAUUCAUGCAUCUUCAUACAACGACUUACCAGCUUGGGCUACUAUUGUUAGAGAAACAAAUCCUGGGAGUAAAGUGACGAUAGAGUUUGCAAGGGUCACAAUUGAUAGGAACCCACAAUUUAAACGAUUAUUUGUAUGUCUUGAUGCAAUGAAAAAAGGAUUUGUUAAAGGUUGUAGGCCUUGGUUUGGGAUUGAUGAAUGACAUUUAAAAGGUCCUUAUGGAGGAAUUUUAUUAGCUGUAGUUGCCCUUGAUGGAAAUAAGAGUAUAUUUCCUAUUGCAAUUGCUAUGGUAGAAGUGGAGUGUAAGGAUUCGUGGAUGUUUUUUUUAACCUUAUUAACUGAAACUUUGCACACUGUUCCAGAAUGGAAUGAGGAUAAACUAACCAUUAUAUCAGAUAGACAAAAGGUUAGUGUGUUUAAAUUAUAUAUCUCCCUGUAGUGAAUAGAUAAUGUCUCUCUAAUUAUUGCUCUUCUACUUAAUUGUUGUUUAAAAAUAACAUGUUGUGGGAAAUGAAGUAAUUCAGGAUAGGAUGUUAUAUGUUUUUUUAAUAUUUUGGUUUAAGUUAGAGAUAUUAAAUGAUUCUUUAUUUGAAUUCAAGGGCUUAAAGUGAGAUAUUUCCAAAUGCACAACAUAGGUAAAUGAUUAAUUAUAAUUUUGUAUUGUUAAUUUUUUAAAAUACUUUAUUAAUCACUACUUGUUUUUGUUAAUAGGUUUUGUUGCAACCACUUGUUGAAUAACUUCAAGCUUCGAUUCAGGUCUUCAAUACUAACAACAGAGUUUUGGGUAGUUGUAAUGGCUUAUAAUGAAACCAUGUUUAAUAAAGCCAUUGCUACUAUGAGAAGAAUAAAAAAUGAUGUUCUAGAAUGGUUGCUAGAUGUUGAUAGGCCUAAAAGUACGUGGGCAAGGCAUACAAUUGAUCCAAUAUGUAAAAGUGAUCAUGUGACCAACAAUGUGAGUGAAGUGUUUAAUGCAUGGAUUGUAGAUGAUAGAAAGAAGACUAUAUUGUCUAUGAUGGAGUCUAUUGUGUGUGGAUUAAUAGGAACAUUUCAAAGAAGGUUUGCAGAGGGUUGUGGUUUUGAGCACAACAUAACUCCUAACAUUCGGAAAGUUUUAAACACUAACAUGCAAGAUGGGAGGUUCUGUACAGUGACUCAUGCAGGGAGAGAAGAAUUUCAAGUGAUUGAUGGACACACGACAUUUUUGGUUAACUUGAUGUUAAGGUCGUGCAGUUGUAAUUAUCGGUUGGUCUCUGGCUUGCCAUGUAAGCAUGCUUGUUCUUGGAUUACUUAUAUGCGAGCGAAUGUGGAGAAAUAUUAUGAUGAAGCUUACUGCAAAUCAAAAUAUUGUCUCACCUAUAAUGAAAUAAUCCACCCUAUGCCAGAUAUUGAUGUUAACAAUAGGGGAAGUAUUAGCCAAAUUGACCCCCCACCUUUGAAGAGACUACCCGGAAGGCCUAGGAGGGCUAGAAAGAAAAGUGUUGUUGAAGGGCCAUUAGGGACUAACGAUGCAAGGAGGUCACACACAUGUAGGUGUAGCACUUGUAAUGAACUUGGACAUAACUACCGCACUUGUCAGAGAACUCCAAUCCAAGGAAAAAAAAGAAACAAAAAGGUAUAAUGUGAAAUUUCAUUUACUUAUAAUGUCAUGCAACAUUGUCUCCUAACUUGCAUUGUCCUGAUUAUGCACUAGGAAACUCAAAACAUAAAUUCAACACAUGACUCUAAUGUUAACGUGCAAGCUGCAACCUCAACCCAGGUAUAAAAAGUGAACUUAAUGAAUUUGGAUGCAAAUGUGUUUAUAAAUUUUUUACUCAACACCUACCAUUUUUCCAGGAGACAAUUCUUAAUCAACAAGGUAAACUAACUCAAGAUGUUGCAAGUGAGCAUGGUAAAAAGGAAUGAAGGUCAUAGAAGGCAUAUGGAAAUGCAUUAAAAAAGGAAGCAAACCACAUAAGAACACGUCAUAGUAGUUGCUAACGGAGAUAGUUUCUUUUUUAGUUUAGACUAUACAUGGUAGUGCAUGUGUGUCUUUUAAUAUUUGUCUCAUUUAAUAUGAAAACAAAUAACUCAAUACCAACAUUUAGAUUGAUAUAUAUAUAUAUAUAUAUAUAUAUUUAUUUAUUUAUUUAUGUGUGGAUUAAUAUUCACUAUAAUUCUUUCAAGCAUUUCAUCAAAUAAGUUGUGAGCAAUAUAUUAAAAUAUGUUUACGUCAAGUCUAGAACUUUGUGUCUUUCUAGCAACAAGUUUAUGGAUAGUUGAAUUUAUAAAAUUUUGAAUAGCAUCAUUGCAAUGUUAUAGCAAUAUUGGUCAUUAUAACAAAAGAGUAAUAUUAAAACAAAUACUGCAAAAAUGUGAUAUGCACAUGACACCCUUAUUUAACAGCCAACUAACGGUAGAGUAGUUUGUGUAACAUGCAUAUAUAAAGGAUGGGAGGUUUAUGUAUGUACAAAAAAGGGAGGGGUGGUUCGUGUAAUUUUAUUAAAACUCAGGGGAGGUCUAUGUAAUUUACUCUUGCUUAUAUAAUUAAAAUGAUGAAUAAAUAUUCAAUGAUUUAUGAUUAAUGCAAUAAUAUGUGUAAUGAUUAGUUCAACAUAAAAAGUUAUGAUAUGAUUAAUAUAAUGAUAUAUGUAAUAAUUAAUUUAUGAUAUUAAGUAGUGUAAGUCCCUUUUUAGGGUGGUGGACCGUGUCUUGUGAGAUAAUAUAGUUCAUUACAAUUUAAACUAAAUAUCAUGUUAGGAUAGAUAUUUAUUAUGUUGUCAAGGCUUAGUCUAAGUUUUUUCGAAAGGUGGACAAAACUUACCAUCGGGCUGGGGGCCAUCAUUGAAAGUGAGGAUUGUAUUUUGAGGAGCAACCCCAAAGUUUUACAAAAAUUAUGUUAAACCGUUUUUUUAAAGAAAGAAAACUACCUUAGGGUAUGGAACCCUUUGUGGGUAUGCAAUUAUAGUGCAAUAGAAAAAAUGAUGGAUUUUGUAAUUAUUUAGAAUGUUAAAUCUCAUUUUAUGCAUAUAUGGAUGUAGAAUCAGGUGAACAAAAUUUGAUUCCAGUGUCCUAUACAUGGUAUUCUUAUAGGGUUUUUGAUAGACUAAAAGUCACAACCUUAUGGCAAUGUACUAGGUCUCAUUAAAAUGGAUUCGGUAAAGGUUCUAGACUUCUAGAUCACCAAAUUGUCCCCCAUCUUGAAAGAAAGGAGUCCCAAUAUCCUAGUUUAGAAACAAAAGGAGUUAAGCCCCUCGAGCGUCUAACUCACGAUACCAAGACAAUUCGGGUGGUUCAUUAUGCUAAUACCAGGAGACAAGUCUAACACCAGUAAAGCACAUGUCCCUCUUAUCUUGACCUUAACCUCUAACAACCCGGGUAUAAGGCGUAUACGCGUGUAAUUCAAAUGUAUCGUGUGUGUGAAGAAGCGACAUUUUUAAAAUCAAUAAACUUUCACCCCAAAGCUACAAAAAAAAAUGAUGAACAUAUAUAAUAAUAUUAAAAUUGAAGCGUUAAAUAAAACUUGUAAAAGAAAAUUUAUUUCAUUACCAUUGUUUUUUAUAUUUAAAAAUAGACAAAGGAAAAAAAGGUAUUUAAAUCAUACAAUUGGCUACAACUGGGUUUGACUCUCUACAAAAAAUUCCUCAGCAGAGUCGCCAGCUGUCGCGUCCCGAUUUUUGGCUACGCGACCUCUUAGAGUCGCCACUAAAAUGAUCUUUAUUUUAAAUGUUCUGUUUUUCUUUUUAUGAAAAUUAUCAUUUUUUAUUUAAUUACAGAAAUAAAAAAAUAUAUUUAACUAGUUAAUAAAAAUAAGAGAAAUAAAAAAGGGUUAAUUGAUUAUUAGCUUUAUUAGGAUAUUAUUACUCUUUAUAGUAUUCACACAAAAAUAAUAAAAAAGAAAGUAUUAAUUCUGUGAAAAUAUUUUUUGUAUUAUUUAGCUUACUGUCAAAAAAAAAGAUAAUAGUUUCUUUUUUAUGAGUGAAAUGUGGUUAUUAUUAUCUUAAAAGAUAAAUAAAUUGCAUUUGGAUAAACAAUAAUAGAAUUAAAUACAUGAGAGAGUAAAGAUUCAGUGCAGAUGAGCUUAAUGUACCAAUACACGUGUUGACCAGCUACUGGUUUAGAAAUAUCGUGCACAAGAGUUCGCCACAUGUCAGUAUGGGGUUGGACAAGCCUAAAGGUGCACUGUGCUUAUGAUGCACCCACACACACACUGGAACGGAGGCUGUAGAGAUGUUGAUCUGGUACAAACGAUUCCACUCGAGCACCAUAGACUCACUUAGUUGUCUCGCAUGGAUUGGACCAAAGGUGGAUGCACUACGUCUACGAUACGCACGGCGGCACUUGAUCAAACACUGGCAUGAGGUGUCUGGAUCCCUUGUGAUGCGUUCACGUGAGGAAUGGUGAGCCCGCCUACGAGGCACGAUCUGAUUAGGUAAGCAAACUUAAACACGCUGACUGGAUAGCCGCGAGGAGCAAUUGGAUUGGCUAGUGAAGGAGUUGUAUGGUGCACACGGUGGAACCGACCACACUGAAACGCUCCUACUCUCUGAAAUAUUUUUCUCUCCUAUGCGCAGUUUUUUUUGUAGAAGCUAUUCCCUCCUCUCUUUUUUCCUCUCUUUUCUCUCUAUGUAGUUUCUUGUAUUUUUAGCAACCAAGAGCCAAAACAAAACCUAACUAUUAACUCUAUUGAUAAAUAAAUUCUAAUCUAAUCUAAUCCUAAUAAAGUGCUAACAACUCACUACCUACUAACCCCACAAUCUCAUAAUAGUAUGCACCCACCAAAUCAGAUUUGACUUGGUGUAUAUAUAUAUAUAUUUUUAUUUUAUUACUUUUUUAUUUAAAUAUAUUUUAAAUUUGGUUUAUUUAUUAAAUUAUUUAUAUAUUCGAAUUAGAUAACAAAAAAAUAUUUUAUUGUUUAUUUGGAAUUUAAAAUCCCAUUUAUUUUACUUGUUUUUUCUUAUAAAUUCAAUUUUAAUUAUAAAAAUUAAUAAAAAAUAUUUUCAUUAUCUUUUAUUUAUUUUAUAAUAUAAAUUCAAAAAAUAAAUAAAUAAAUAUAAUAAUAAAAAUAUUUUUAUCAUUUUAUGACAUUUGAAAUAUCUCAUUUAAAUUCAAAAUAAACUCUAAAAUUAAUAAAUAAAUAAAAAAUUAUUUUGAGAAAGUAAUUAUUUUUAAAAUAUGUUGGGUUUUUUAUGUGCCGGGCAAAAAUAAGUAUUCACACUCCUUAUACUUUAUUAGUUUAUAAAAUUGGUCCUACGGAAAAAUAAAGUUGAAUUAUGAAGAAAAAAUAUUUAACUUCAAAGGAGUUUGCAUGAUGAAGCUUCAUUAUUUCUCAAUUGCAAAAGGAGGUGCCACGAUAGAAUCAAAAGAACAUUGAUUUUCAAACAGCGAGAGCUUGUGACUAGAGAUAGCAAAACGAGCAUCGCCCGCAUUUUUUUGCAGGCAGGGCAUACAAAAUAUGUUUAUUUGCCUGUUUCGCCCGGCCCGUUUUGCCCGCCAAGUUUGCGGGCAUUUCUGUUAGGCAUGCAGACGGCCUGCGGGCAGCCCAUAAACAUAAUUUAAGAAAAAAGUAAGAAAAUUUUAAAUAAGUUAUGAUGUAAUGUGAUUUUUAAUCCAUAAAAAAAUUGUAAUGUAAUUUGUUAAAUAUCAUAUAAAAUAUCAAAAUUUUGUUAAUUUCAUUUUAUCUAUUAUAUGAAUUUUUAUUUUUUUUAAUUAUUCAACAAUGUUUGCGGGCCGCCUGCUAGCCCGUUUUAAAAUGGGCAGGGCAUUGAAUUUUGUGUGUUAAUCAAUGCGGGCAUGCUCGCGCCCGCUUAAAUUUUUUGGGGCAUUUGCGGGCGCGGCGGGCUAAACUGGUCGGCCGACCCGUUUUGCCAUCUCUACUUGUGACAUACUACUAUAAUGGCAACAAUAGUUUCGUUGACCCAUCAGUUUUCUUCGAGCAAGUGACCAAUGACCAAGCAUAGACACAGAAUAGCAACAAAGAGUGUCCCUGAUCGUGAGCCAAAUUCCUCACCAUAUUGGCUACCAAAUGGCACCAUAAUAAUUACUUAUGUUUUGUUUUAACAGUUACACUUAUUACUCGCACCACCUUUUCAAGUUUGUUUAGCUAAGCACCUAACUUUAUAUACUAGAACAAACACAUAAGGUGGGGUGCUGGGCUUUUUUCAAUCUGCUAAAUCUGAGUGUGAAAAAUAUAUUGUGAUUACUAUGAAACUUUGGUACAUUGCGAUUACUCAUCACUGAGGCACAAGGUACAUGACAAGAAAUAAAUCAAGUUCAAAAAACUACACAACUAUUUCCUGGAAUCACGCUUUCAUCUUUACCUUCAUUUAAAAAUUCUUCUUCUAUUGUAACUCGAGAAUUCACUGUGUGAAUCAUCUCUGAAGAAAUUGAAGUUGUUGACCACGGUGUGAAAGGUGUGCAAAAGGGUGAGGAAGUGCGAUUUGAUCUGUGGCAAAGACAAUGGUUGGGAAUAACAACAAUCUUCCAUCAAUGAGCCUACAUGUUCUUACGGAGAAGAAUUGGGAUCGUUGGAACACACAGAUGAAGGUGUU
RNAcentral lists this long non-coding RNA (35561 nucleotides) under Lupinus angustifolius (narrow-leaved blue lupine). RNAcentral's name for it is "long non-coding RNA (LANG_LNC001673)". The record is from RNAcentral. Lineage: Eukaryota; Viridiplantae; Streptophyta; Magnoliopsida; Fabales; Fabaceae.